CCCAGACAGCCAGGAUGUUGGCUUAGAAGCAGCCAUCAUUUAAAGAAAGCGUAAUAGCUCACUGGUCGAGUCGGCCUGCGCGGAAGAUGUAACGGGGCUAAACCAUGCACCGAAGCUGCGGCAGCGACGCUGUGCGUUGUUGGGUAGGGGAGCGUUCUGUAAGCCUGUGAAGGUGGCCUGUGAGGGUUGCUGGAGGUAUCAGAAGUGCGAAUGCUGACAUAAGUAACGAUAAAGCGGGUGAAAAGCCCGCUCGCCGGAAGACCAAGGGUUCCUGUCCAACGUUAAUCGGGGCAGGGUGAGUCGACCCCUAAGGCGAGGCCGAAAGGCGUAGUCGAUGGGAAACGGGUUAAUAUUCCCGUA
Molecule: ribosomal RNA, 360 nt
Filed under: Salmonella enterica subsp. enterica serovar Kentucky
Lineage: Bacteria; Pseudomonadati; Pseudomonadota; Gammaproteobacteria; Enterobacterales; Enterobacteriaceae
Description: bacterial LSU rRNA
Rfam family: Bacterial large subunit ribosomal RNA
Source: RNAcentral